AGGCGGGUAGCGGCAAGGCCACCAAGGUUGUGAAGUGUUGGAGUGUCCCGGCGGGAGCCGCAGGCGCCGCAGGACGGGCGGAGACUGCCCGGGACCGCAGCUGCCCGCGCGCGGACGCGUCUGCGACGGCUCGCCUUGGUCGAGUGGGAAGAGACUCCGCGCCGCGGGCUACUUAAUAGAGGGCUGUUCCCGGCUCUCAGUUUACUCGGUUACGAAACGCCUGAGAAGGUGGACGGCUGCCACGGGGUGAUGUAUGCUCCUCCGGCGGUGAAGGAGGUCUACUUUUGGGAACGUGUGCAUACUUCCAGCAUUCCUUCGGCGUGAGGUUAUACCCUGGGCUCACCCUUCCUCACUCUAUCAUAUGCUCGCCCACCUCUUCUCCCUUCGACUCCUGGGCUCCCGGAGGUUCCAGGGCUUCAGAUUCCUUGUCCGACAGCGCGAUCUAGCGGUGAGCACGAGCACUGGCGUCGGAGGUCAAAGUUCCAGAAUGGAGAGCCAGAAGUUGAGUUGCAGAACCCUGUGCAUGAAGUCAAAAUACAUUUGAUGAUCACCUUCCAUGUGUCCGCACAGUGACAAGCUCAGAGCCGUGGAUACAAAGACAAUUCAGAUGAGGUCUUGCCUUCAAAACUCUGUCAAGGAACACCCAGGGCAUUUCACUGGCCCACUUACAUCUCUUGAGAGAUUAUGGCUUCAAAAUGUUUUAAAAUUAAAAAUGAGAAGCAGUAAGCAACUACCCUGUCUGUACUAGCAAAGCUAAAGAAUCCAGGGACUGAAGCCAUCCCUACAGGAAGGGAGAGGGGAUGUAUUAUGUUCCUGCCUCCUUGACUUCUUCAUAAAGAACUAUUCCAGAGAGGUCUCCAGGCUUGUGCGCACCUCAUCCAGACCUCUCACUUGCCCUGAAACGAUCUCUCCCUUUCGGCGUGUGAGCAGCUGUGGAGCAGAAAACAGUAAUUGCAUCACAUUUAUCCUCCCACCCAAGGUGGCAAGUUCAACUUCAUGUGACCUCAAAAAGUGUGGUUGCCUGGAAGGCUAUGAAGCUUAAAACAAAAAAUUUGCAUCCAAAUACACUAUCUUCCUAGGAUGAACCAUUCAGAUUUGAUAAAAGUCAAAUGCUGACGGGAGUCGAUUAUUCAGUUAGCUCUGACCUCCUUGAGCAACUAUGAAAGAUAAAAGGAAACACAUUCACUUAAGAGUUAAGAAAGCAGCCCUUUGUGACUUCAUUUCUAUAAGAUUCAAUACUGUUUCAGUCAUCCUUACCACCCUGGGACUCAGAAUCUAUUUAUUUGGUAACUAUCAAAGUAGGAAGGAGCAGGUCCAGAAUUCCUAAUCAGAACACCGCUCUGUGUGUGGACACUUGGUAAGUGUAUACUGACAUAAAUUUGCAGGUUGCUGGAAAAUGUGAAAAAUCAUUAGGAACUCAUUUUUCAGGAUUUGGUCAUGGCCUUCAAACUGAUUACGUAGUACACUGAAAUGCAGUAGUGAUGAAAUCAUAGUCAAAAGAGGUUUUAUUGGUCCCAGUUGGAGCUCCUGUGUAGGAUAAGUGUAACCAGACCAAGGUUUCAUUUGAUAAACCAUUUUUAUACACUUACUACUUCAUUCAGCUACAUUUAAGAAGCACAGAUACCCAGGUAUUCAAGGCAGACAGAAUUCCAGACUUUGAAAUGUUCCUAAAUCCAAUAUGGAGUGGAAUGCACCCUCUGGUGGAAAAGAGGGAAAGGAUGGCCAUUAUCUGAGUAGACUCCUUUCAUCGUUUUGAUCUGGAUCAUUCAUUCAGCAAACAUUCAUGAUGUUCACUAGAAACUGUGAGGAAUUUUUUUUAAAAAGCAAAUCAAAAGAGGUCCUGUCCACAAAAAGCAUAAAUGUAGUAACAAAGACCAAAGUCAAAAGACUCAAGAGAAGUCUGGAGACAGUGUAUAAUUGGAAACUGACAGACCAGUAUAAAAAAUAAUUGGGGGGGGGGGGGAAUCAUGAUAUACAGAAACAAGACAAAAGACAUUGCAGGAAGCAAUCAAUUCAACCCACGAUUCAGAACAUUCUGCAUAAAAAAAGCAAUUUCUCCACAAACCGGUUUCUCCAUAAAUCAGUCUCUCCAAAACCCCAUGACAAGAAAAAAGGGGGGAAAGAGUAGAUUGUUAUGAAAAAAUAUUUAAGAGCCAUAGCAACCAAAUAAUAACAAUAACAAUAAUAGUCGUCAAGAACUAUUUUAGGAUCUGAAAUUGUAUCCUACUUGCAAGCUAACAAGUUAACAUACUACAGAUUCACAGGAUGCUGGCAGAACACACGAGGAACCAGAGACAAAGGACUGUGUUACUGACAGCAAUAGCAGUAGCCAGAGUAUCAUUAUUUGCCCUGGUUCUCCAGGCCCCAGUUCCCACGGGGUAAUGCGAAGAAGGCCCAGUGACCCUUACAAACACAGUGGGUUGCACUGAGGGAACUGAACUGAGCUUGGGGAACCCAUGUCUUUUCUAAGGGCAGUCAGCCUGCCUGACUUUUGCCCUGAAAGGAGGCAUUAUCUUUGUUACACUAGACAGUAAACAAACUUGCCCUUUGCUCUGGAGGGAGAAAUUACCUUUGGUUCUUAGGCUGCUAGUAUACAAACUCCCUGGAAACAAUCCUCUAAAAUAAAAGCAUUCGGUGCCUCUGCAGAAACAGGAGAGAUCCACUGGAGAGGUGUCUCCCAACAAUAAGAAUUGUUGCAAGUUUGUGCAAGGAAGAAAGCAGUGUAUGCUGAAGUGGUCCCUAAAGAAUUUCUGGAGGAGGAAGAUUUUAAAGGACUAGCAGUUAACAUUCCAAGCACAAGAUUCAAAAUGAGAAGUUGAAAAAAAUAGCAAAGAGACAAGAAAUGUCCUGGGCAAUAAAUAAAGCAGAGUUGUUUCAGCAGAAACUUUGUGAACACGAUGGAAUAGUAUUGGAGUUUGGAAGUAGCUGAGAUUCUGGAAUUUAAUCCUUUAAAUAUAAUCAUUACUGAGCAAAUAAUUGACAGGGCGUAUCCCAGUCAUUGCGCAAAGCAUUUUACAUACAUCAGUCCAUGACAUUUAAUUCUUAUCUCUAUGCUAGAGAGAAGGAAUUGAGGCUCAGAGACGUCAGGUGAUUUACCUGUUAAUUUUGGAACCCAGAUCUGAGCUCAGCUUUCUGAUAUCUAAGCUCAUGGUCUUUCUGGUAUAUUAAAACCACAGAAGAAUGAUAAAAAUCUUGUUGCAAAAAGCCUAAUCUGACAAUCAGACUCAUAGUAACUUGCUAGGAAGACAGCCUAC
Molecule: long non-coding RNA, 3254 nt
Organism: Neofelis nebulosa (Clouded leopard)
Lineage: Eukaryota; Metazoa; Chordata; Mammalia; Carnivora; Felidae
Exons: 3
Source: RefSeq, a predicted model, not a curated record